RNAcentral lists this long non-coding RNA (381 nucleotides) under Equus caballus (horse). Its description in RNAcentral is "lncRNA (ENSECAG00000049041.1)". The record is from RNAcentral. Lineage: Eukaryota; Metazoa; Chordata; Mammalia; Perissodactyla; Equidae.
AAGGAAGGUCAGGGAGGCCUCCUUAGGGGUCAUUGAAGUUGGGACCCAAACGAGGAGAAGGAAGAAGCCAUGUGAAGGUUUGAAGAGAGUAUUCCAAACGCUUCUGUAAAUAUAAAGACUGAGAGAGGAGAGAGCGUGCCCAGUCAAGGAAGAGAAGGUGGCCAGAGCAAGGGUUCAAAAGAAUGGGGCUACACAGCUGGAUGAACAAUGGCACCAACUUCUGAUGCGGAGGUAGUUUCAGGAAAGGGGAUAAAGUGGGAAGAUGAAGAAUCCAGAGACGAGAGAUCCAUUUUGCCCUAUAAAGUCUGACCUAUCCAUUGGACACUCAGGAGGAUGUCUCAAGUAUGCGAUCACGUACAGAAUUGCAGAGAAAAGACCCAG